CUUUCUAGCUGCCUCCCAAGGCAUCCCUGGAAACAGUGAUUCAUUCUGGUGGGCUGGUGAAUCUUGAACAGGACAGCCUGAGGGGCAGACCUUAGAAGUUUAUCUUGACCAACGACAAAAUUUAGCUCCCCAGC
RNAcentral lists this long non-coding RNA (134 nucleotides) under Microtus ochrogaster (prairie vole). RNAcentral's name for it is "FTX transcript, XIST regulator conserved region 3 (ENSMOCG00000003645.1)". It matches the Rfam family "FTX transcript, XIST regulator conserved region 3". Lineage: Eukaryota; Metazoa; Chordata; Mammalia; Rodentia; Cricetidae. The record is from RNAcentral.